CGUUCUGUAGCCUGUGAAGGGAUACCUGUGAAGGAUCCUGGAGGUAUCAGAAGUGCGAAUGCUGACAUAAGUAACGAUAAAAGAAGUGAAAAACUUCUUCGCCGAAAAUCCAAGGGUUUCUGCGCAAGGUUAAUCCGCGCAGAGUUAGUCGGCACCUAAGGCGAGGGCGAAAGCCGUAGUCGAUGGAAAUAAGGUUAAUAUUCCUUAACCAGAUGGAAGUGACGAAUCUUGUAAAUUGUGAGUUCUUAAUGGAUUGAACUUGCCGUGAAAAGGUUCCAAGAAAUAGCUCCAUCAUUAGACCGUACCCUAAACCGACACAGGUGGAUUAAUAGAGUAUAUUUAGGCGCUUGAGAGAAUGAUGUUGAAGGAACUCGGCAAAAUGCUUCCGUAACUUCGGAAUAAGGAAGACCUUUUUGUAGGCAACUACUUAAGGGUGGCACAAGCCAGGGAGAAGCGACUGUUUAUCAAAAACACAGGGCUCUGCUAACACGUAAGUGGAUGUAUAGGGUCUGACGCCUGCCCGGUGCUGGAAGGUUAAUGCGAUGGGUGCAAGCUCAUUUCUGAAGCCCCAGUAAACGGCGGCCGUAACUAUAACGGUCCUAAGGUAGCGAAAUUCCUUGUCGGGUAAGUUCCGACCUGCAUGAAUGGCGUAACGAUUUCUCCGCUGUCUCCAACAUCAACUCAGUGAAAUUGAAUUCUCCGUGAAGAUGCGGAGUUCGCGUAGUUAGACGGAAAGACCCCGUGCACCUUUACUGCAACUUUACAUUGGUAUUAGGAAAAACAUAUUUAGCAUAGGAGGGAGACUUUGAAGCAAAAGCGUCAGCUUUUGUGGAGUCACCAGUGAAAUACCUCUUUUGUUUUUCUUGAUAUCUAACUGAUAGCCGUUAUCCGGCAUCAAGACAUUGUAUGGUGGGUAGUUUGACUGGGGCGGUCGCCUCCCAAAUAGUAACGGAGGCGUGCGAAGGUAAGCUCAGAACGGUCAGAAAUCGUUCGUAGAGUGCAAUGGCAUAAGCUUGCCUGACUGUGAGACUGACAAGUCGAGCAGAGUCGAAAGACGGUCAUAGUGAUCCGGUGGUUCUGAGUGGAAGGGCCAUCGCUCAACGGAUAAAAGGUACGCCGGGGAUAACAGGCUGAUACUGCCCAAGAGCU
RNAcentral lists this ribosomal RNA (1149 nucleotides) under marine metagenome. Its description in RNAcentral is "bacterial LSU rRNA". It matches the Rfam family "Bacterial large subunit ribosomal RNA", at positions 1237 to 2500 of the family's 2925-position model. The record is from RNAcentral.